Molecule: long non-coding RNA, 333 nt
Organism: Quercus lobata
Lineage: Eukaryota; Viridiplantae; Streptophyta; Magnoliopsida; Fagales; Fagaceae
Exons: 4
Source: RefSeq, a predicted model, not a curated record
AUUAAGACUACGAAUUCUGGAGCAAAGCAAAUGAGGAUGGCUUCAAUUAACGAUAUACGUCUUAACACAACUGCAGUUUAGGAAUGGCUUUUCCAAUUAGGGCAUUCUUGUGCUUCAUUUCAAAACAAUUGAGCUUUGCUUGAAGCUUCAAGAAAAGUUAAUUUUAAAGAUUUCUUAAGACAAGGCUUGCAUCUGGAAGGAAAUAAAGGUCUCUUCUCACAAAAGCAUGCAAGAGGAAGUCCUCCCUGCACAGUAGUUCAAGGUUGUUAACUAAAGGUACAAAAUAAGUUAUACAAAGUUAAAGGUUGUUUUUAACUUUGUAUGUGGGUAGAA